RNAcentral lists this unclassified non-coding RNA (229 nucleotides) under Spirosphaera carici-graminis. RNAcentral describes it as "partial internal transcribed spacer region". The stretch from base 1 to 46 matches the Rfam family "Eukaryotic small subunit ribosomal RNA", at positions 1786 to 1831 of the family's 1831-position model. The record is from RNAcentral. Lineage: Eukaryota; Fungi; Ascomycota; Leotiomycetes; Helotiales.
AAGUCGUAACAAGGUUUCCGUAGGUGAACCUGCGGAAGGAUCAUUAAUAAUGAAGCCGGGCAACCGGUCCUUCUAACCCUUGAUUAUCUUAAUUUGUUGCUUUGGUGGGCCGCGCAAGCACCGGCUUUGGCUGGAUCGUGCCCGCCAGAGGACCCCAACUCUGUAUCAAAUAUUGUCUGAGUACUAUAAAAUAGUUAAAACUUUCAACAACGGAUCUCUUGGUUCUGGC